RNAcentral lists this ribosomal RNA (472 nucleotides) under uncultured bacterium. RNAcentral describes it as "partial 16S ribosomal RNA". It matches the Rfam family "Bacterial small subunit ribosomal RNA", at positions 30 to 507 of the family's 1533-position model. The record is from RNAcentral.
AGUGAACGCUGGCGGUAGGCCUAACACAUGCAAGUCGAACGGCAGCACAGUAAGAGCUUGCUCUUACGGAUGGCGAGUGGCGGACGGGUGAGGAAUACAUCCGACUCUACUUUUUCGUGGGGGAUAACGUAGGGAAACUUACGCUAAUACCGCAUACGACCUACGGGUGAAAGCAGGGGAUCUUCGGACCUUGCGGGUGUGAAUGGGCCGGUGGCGGAUUAUCUAGUUGGCGGGGUAGAGGCCCACCAAGGCUACGAUGGGUAGCUGGUCUGAGAGGAUGACCGGCCACAUGGGGACUGAGAUACGGACCAGACUCCUACGGGAGGCAGCGGUGGGGAAUAUGGCACAAUGGGCGGAAGCCUGAUGCAGCAACGCCGCGUGCGGGAUGACGGCCUUCGGGUUGUAAACCGCUUUCGCCUGUGACGAAGCGUGAGUGACGGUAAUGGGUAAAGAAGCACCGGCUAACUACGUG